RNAcentral lists this ribosomal RNA (259 nucleotides) under uncultured bacterium. Its description in RNAcentral is "partial 16S ribosomal RNA". It matches the Rfam family "Bacterial small subunit ribosomal RNA", at positions 29 to 301 of the family's 1533-position model. The record is from RNAcentral.
AACGAACGCUGGCGGCAGGCCUAAUACAUGCAAGUCGAACGAGCAAGAGCCCGCAAGGGAGUUCUGCUAGUGGCAAACGGGUGCGGAACACGUGGGAAUCUACCCAGAAGUAUGGAACAACAGCUGGAAACGGCUGCUAAUACCAUACUAAGCUCGAAAGAGGAAAGAUUUAUCGCUUUGGUAUGAGCCGCGUCAGAUUAGCUAGUUGGUGAGGUAAUGGCUCACCAAGGCAACGAAUCUGUAGCUGGUCUGAGAGGAC